Molecule: long non-coding RNA, 1008 nt
Organism: Coregonus clupeaformis (lake whitefish)
Lineage: Eukaryota; Metazoa; Chordata; Actinopteri; Salmoniformes; Salmonidae
Exons: 3
Source: RefSeq, a predicted model, not a curated record
GCAGCAUCCCUGGAGCUGCUACUGUUAUCUGAAACACAACAAGGGCCAGGAUAGGGGAACAGAUCUAAAGAGGAAAGAAGAGAUAAACAGGGGGAAUCCUUUGGAAGCAUCCAGGGGUCUGGUUGCUUUGUGUGGAGUGGAGCAGGAGGUUCUGCCUGGAGAGUGUGUUCUGGUGUGCUCAAUGCAUUCCCAAUGCUUCAGCAGAUCUCAGUCCAGAGAGAGCCAACCUGCGGCUGUUGUGACACAACAAGACAACUCUCCACAUUCCUUUGUUGUUUCCUCUUGGCUGAAACCAUGGAUACGACUAUGGCCAAGACAACCGCUAGCUUUCUCUCCACUGUCUCUAGCGCCUAGCGCCUCCAUGACCACCCUUCUCACCGUUACAACGGACGCCAGGAUGGAACGGGACAACGUCACCGAGUCCAGGACAACACUCAUGGUCACUAGCAUUACUAUAACAACAACCAACGAGACAAGUUUCAACGCCACCAAGCUGCCAGAGUUGGCGCUAGAGGGCUCUGAGAUGGGCAUGGUGCUGGUGCCCUUUGGCAUCAUCACUGUAAUUGGCCUGGCAUUGGUCGUGAUAAGAAAGCAAUCACUUUAGUCAUUACCUAGUUUCCAUGCCCACAAAAUAUGUAUGUUUGUCACGACAGUGUACAGUAUGAAUAAGUAGAUUUUUCUCCUCUUAUCUAAUUAACAAUGAUCUGUGUGUCUCCCUGUGCCCCACCAUGUCUCCCACUCCCAGAUGCUGUAUAUCAGGAAACGGAAGAGACUGGAGAAGCUGAGGCACCAGCUGAUGCCCAUGUAUAACUUUGACCCGGCAGAGGAACAGGAUGACCUGGAACAGGAACGACUGGACAACAACCUCACAGGACCGAAUAACAAGGUAGUAUACGACACAGGUCUGUAGCAGUGCCGCGGCUGCACUCCCCUGUUCAGUGAUACUGAUAAUCUACUGUAGAUCUAUGAUGAUACAUUUACAUUUGAGUCAUUUAGCAGACGCUCUUA